CUCAGUCAGUGCAGCUCUGCCAUUGACCAUGGAAAGGCCCUAUUCCCCAGCACUUAAGGGCAUCUGUUUUUCCUAGCAGCUUCCUAAGAUUUCUUCUUAUGGCACAUGAGGGGAAGAUUCCUAACUUGGAGGAGCAACCGGUUUGGUUUGGCUUUUCUUUAAGGAGCGUCUCCAGCCCACAUUGAUUGCCUGUGGAAUGCUUGUCUCCGUACUGGUGGGCUUCAAGAUAAGAAUCGGUUUUCAGAGUGUCCAAAAUACAGCCGUGCCCUGCAGCAGCACCCUAGCAACACAGCAUGAUAUAAGGCUCUUUGAAUGCUUCAGGGUGAUUCUAGUCCUGCCAGCUGGUCGAGGCAUCUCAGAUGGUUACUACCUUUGGCACCAGGCAACCCUGAGAGAGUCAGAAGAGCCAUCACUCCAGUACCCAAGCAGCAAAUGAGCCUGUGUUCCAGAUUUAAAAAUGCUUUUAAAGGAAAGAAGGGCAAGCCCCUGCAGAGUCAGCAGCAGAACAAAAUCAGAGUGCCCAUACCCCAGCUGCUGUCAUCCAAAGUGCUGGCAUGCUGGAAGUCAGCACUACUUGCACCACAGGACAGAGACAAGGAUGUUAAAUUGACAAAGGAAAAACAGUAUCUUUCAUCUGUCUGGAAUUUAUUAAAGCAUCUACAACAUAACCACAUGGAACAAUGAAGGAACUGACCAGCAGGAAGACAGCAACAGGAAACGUUGGAAGGGGAAGUAUUGGUGGUGAAGCAGGAUGACUACCAGAGCUUCUAAAGUAGAGGUGGGCAAAAUCCAGCUUGCAGGCUGGAUCCGGCCUGCAGAGGGAUUUUUGCCCAGCCCACAAUGCAGUGGCCAGAGACUAUUUCCUGGCAGCCUUAGUAGCAGCAACUCCUAUGACUGCCACUGCUGGACCUGGCCCCACCGAGCACACCGCCUCAUAGAUACUGACUUUUAUUUUUGCCAGGUGGAGGCCUAAGAUGAUGCCACCUUGCACCCUUGUGGCAUGGCUGAAGCAGAGCCAAACGGAGCCUGUGGGGGUUGGAUACAGACUGCGGGCUUGGGGCUUCCCACCCUGCUGCUCUUCCCCUCGGAGCCCCAGGCUGGCCAUGCCACCAUGGUGAGGUGCCCCCUGCCCACCCAACUGCAGUGGGGGGCACAACUCUGCCCCACAGCUUCUGGGUGGGCAAGGGGCGUCUUGCCACGGGAGUGAAAAUGGUGUGGGGCUCCCAGUGGAGGGGAGCAACCUGCAUCUGCCUCUCCCCUAUGCACAAAUCUGUGCCCCCUGCCUCUGCAUGUCCUCUUCCCCGGAGUGUGUGCGGCAGCAGGUAGCCUCCCCACACCCUCUGCCCCUCUUGAUGAGCCACCUGUGGCUCUGUCUUGUUCCCCACCCCAGCCCCAAUCCCCAUGUACCGCCCUGGGUGGGCAGCUCCCCCAGGCUCAGCCCCUCCCACUCUCUCCCUCACCAUGGGGCCCUCAAUCUGCCCCCUCCCAUAGAUUUACCUGCAGGCAGCUGGGGGAACUGAGGCUCUCCACCACUGCCUGGGGCCAUAUUUCUGGCCCCAUGCAGCAUGGAGCCAGGGCACAGGGAAGAGCUGCAAUCUGCUGCCCACACACCCCUAUGACAGGAACUGGUUUUGCAGUCAGAGACAUGCAGGGAACAGAUCGCGCCCCUGACCCCAGCCUCGGGCUGUCACUAUCCCAAAAUCCAAGCCCCGCCCACCCACUCAACCCACCUGAGCAACUUCUAGCUCUCCUCCAUGGCUAUCCACCUUUAGACACACAAGCAGACUGCAGACUUUAGUUCGGGAAUAUUUUAUUACCAUCUCUGCUGCUUUUGUAUCAUACAUUUAAAAAAUAAAUAACUGUAAAUAAGUUAGUAGAGGACUACA
Molecule: long non-coding RNA, 1886 nt
Filed under: Crocodylus porosus (Australian saltwater crocodile)
Lineage: Eukaryota; Metazoa; Chordata; Crocodylia; Crocodylidae
Description: lncRNA (ENSCPRG00005016424.1)
Source: RNAcentral